Lates calcarifer (barramundi perch) is the source of this 2029-nucleotide long non-coding RNA. RefSeq lists it as uncharacterized. The transcript is spliced from 4 exons. The record is from RefSeq and is a predicted model, not a curated record. NCBI's taxonomy places the organism in Eukaryota, Metazoa, Chordata, Actinopteri, Centropomidae.
CGCAUGUCUCAACUUAUUUUCCUAUAAAUACUUUUCACUAGUCGUUGUGACACUUAAAACUUCUUAUUUAUUACAAAUCAUACAGCUUAAUGAUUAUCUUUCAGCAAAGCACUCUAAAAAGGAUUGUGCAUCUUACUUUCACAGGGAGAAUUUAGCAUUAGUGCACUUUCUUUGGCAGUGAGGGCGCUCAGAUUUCAACCCUUCUCGACAGUCUGAAGGAAAAUGAGGUAGACCGCAUUUUGUCACACCUGCUGAACAAGUUUCAUCAAGGAUAUGAGAAUGAAUAAAGAAAUUGGCCAGAGCAGUAACCCUGAGACAAAAGGAGAGAAACAAUCCUUAAUAGAAUAAGACUGGGUCACAUUAACAUAAAUAACACGCUGAGAAUUAUUGGUAAGCAUCCAGCUGAUUUAUAGAUCACGCAUCAGCCUUUACAGUCUGUGUGCACUCUGUAUACUAUGUCCUAAUUGUGUAUUUUUAGGAGAAAUUCUGUUUUUUUCUCCACUGAAAUCAGCCUUAGUAAACUGUAUAAACGGAUGGAUGGAAAGAAUGUGUCACAUUUUACUGAUGGAUAUGGAAAUGACAGGAAGAUGCAGGACAAAGAAUAGUGGGCAGCAAGUGUGGAGUUUCUGAAGGGAGGGGUAUGUCCUUCCUGAUUUCCUUCCUGAGCAGCUUUUGUUCUAUUACCUGUGGCAUUUCAGCAUAAUUUCACUAUUUAUUUUUCAGCGCUGGAUGUGGAAAUGUUGAGUUAAGAUAAUGAUAAUGACUGUGUACAGACUUCUACUGAAAUAACAUUUCUCACCCUCACUCUCUGUUCUGCUCCAGACAGGAUGAGGAUACAGUAACAAGGAACAAGCCAGAAUGCAACAAGCAACAUUUUCCACUCCACCAGUGAAAAGUCUUCCUGUGUGGUGGUAACAAGGGAACGACACCCUCAAAUUACUUAUCCAAGCCUGAACCAGCAAUAUACCUUGGAUCAUUCUUCAUCUAGUGUUGCUACUCCACCUGGACUCUUCAUCUGGAGAAGGAACAAUUAUGAUGUCUACAGUGUCCACAGAUGUUUGGCUGUGAAUGGGAUGAUGAGACUGGGGAGAUUAUUGGUUACUGGUCUUCUCUGUACUUAUGAUGGAGAAGACUGCAUAGCAUUGGACCUGAAGACACUAACCUGGAUCACUCCCAGACCACAAGCUGUCAUUACAAAACACAAGUGGACCCAUGAAAGGGCAAAAUUAAACUUCAAUAAGACGUACCUCACUGAGCAUAUUACUGAUCCUCCCCAACCAUGGAACCUUCCAGAUGAGAGUUGAUCUAACCUUUCAUCAGCCUUAACUGCAGACUGGAGGAGGUACGACAGAGGACAUGACAGGAUUACACAAGAACUACUGAACCAGUUUUCACCAAACUUGUUGGGAGGAAUGAGAAUUUUUUUUUAUCACUUUCCUCAACAUUGCGAGAUCAAGCAUUUUUCUACAUUUCUACAUUUUUCUACACACAAUUUCUCAGGAAAAGUCUGAACCAUGAUGUGAACAAUCACACAUAUUUAUGGUGUUGAGAUAUACGAGUUCAUACUGUCUGGUGCCAGUUAGAGCUACACAGGUGUACAGGAUUGUUUGACCUUGACAGAGGUAUAUGUUACUGUAUGUUCCUAGUACAUUUCAUGUGUAGUAACCUCCACCUGAAAGUUCCUGAAAGUUACAGUUCUUCUCUCCUCAUUUUAUGCAGUGGCAGCUAUAACUUUGAAGUUGUUAGAAGGCACCUUUAACAGAGCUACUGGUUAAUAAUCAUAAUCAAUCAUAGCUGACAGUAUUCAACUCAAGUCAUUUAUUCAUCCACUGUUUCUGUCUUAUGUAUCAUCCUCAAGGUAUUAACAUGAGAAUAUAAUGGAAUGGAAAUAAACAAAAACCAACUGCAACAAUGCAGAGAUAACAAAAUAAAUGGUAUAAUGUAACUAAAUAUAAUAAACAAUAUGUAAAAACUUACAUGUUCCAGAGAUAAUUUCAUCCAUUUUGACACCUCACGAUGAUUAUUUUAA